UACGAAGGGGGCGAGCGUUGUUCGGAUUUACUGGGCGUAAAGGGCGCGCAGGCGGCUCAUUUUGUCAGGCGUGAAAGCCCCGGGCUUAACCUGGGAGGUGCGUUUGAUACGGAUGGGCUAGAGUUCGGGAGAGGAGAGUGGAAUUCCCAGUGUAGAGGUGAAAUUCGUAGAUAUUGGGAAGAACACCGGUGGCGAAGGCGGCUCCCUGGACCGAGACUGACGCUGAGGCGCGAAAGCGUGGGGAGCAAACAGG
RNAcentral lists this ribosomal RNA (253 nucleotides) under uncultured bacterium. RNAcentral's name for it is "partial 16S ribosomal RNA". It matches the Rfam family "Bacterial small subunit ribosomal RNA", at positions 524 to 776 of the family's 1533-position model. The record is from RNAcentral.